AGACGUAGGAGGCAAGCGUUAUCCGGAUUUAUUGGGCGUAAAGCGCACGCAGGCGGCGAGGUAAGUCGGGUGUAAAAGCUCCGGACUCAAUUCGGAGAGGUCAUUCGAGACUGCCUGGCUUGAGAACGGGAGAGGGAAGUGGAAUUCUCGGUGUAGUGGUGAUAUGCGUAGAUAUCGAGAGGAACACCAGUGGCGAAGGCGGCUUCCUGGCCCGGUUCUGACGCUAAGGUGCGAAAGCGUGGGGAGCGAACGGACUUAGAUACUCCGGUAGUCCACGCCGUAAACGAUGGGUACUAGGUGUGGGGGGCGUAAAGCCCUCUGUGCCACAGCUAACGCACUAAGUACCCCGCCUGGGGACUACGGCCGCAAGGUUAAA
Molecule: ribosomal RNA, 376 nt
Filed under: uncultured bacterium
Lineage: Bacteria
Description: bacterial SSU rRNA
Rfam family: Bacterial small subunit ribosomal RNA
Source: RNAcentral